Molecule: long non-coding RNA, 255 nt
Organism: Dicentrarchus labrax (European seabass)
Lineage: Eukaryota; Metazoa; Chordata; Actinopteri; Moronidae
Exons: 3
Source: RefSeq, a predicted model, not a curated record
UACUCAGUGCUCCAAGUACACACUCAGUGCUCCAGAUACAGACUCAGUGCUACAGGUACAGAGUCAGUCCUAUAGGUACAGACUCAGUGCUCCAGGUACACACUCAGUGCUCCAGGUACACACUCAGUGCUCCAGGUACACACUCAGUGCUCCAGGUACACACUCAGUGCUCCAGGUACACACUCAGUGCUCCAGGUACAGACUCAGUGCUCCAGGUACACACUCAGUGCUCCAGGUACACACUCAGUGCUCCAG